Molecule: non-coding RNA, 75 nt
Organism: Myotis lucifugus (little brown bat)
Lineage: Eukaryota; Metazoa; Chordata; Mammalia; Chiroptera; Vespertilionidae
Source: Rfam
GGCAGUUCUCAGGUGAUGCACCCCAGAAUCGGGCUCCCCCCUCUGUGGUUCCAGGUGCAUCACCCGAGAACCACA